RNAcentral lists this long non-coding RNA (20958 nucleotides) under Nicotiana tabacum (common tobacco). Its description in RNAcentral is "long non-coding RNA (NTAB_LNC003161)". Lineage: Eukaryota; Viridiplantae; Streptophyta; Magnoliopsida; Solanales; Solanaceae. The record is from RNAcentral.
GGGAAUACUCAACAUAGGAUGACCCAACAUGAUAUACAAACUUAUACAUGUGACAUGCCUAUAAGACCAAAAUGAACACUCGUACACUGAACAUAGGCCGACAAGGCCAUACAAUCUUUCAUAUGCAUGACAUCUGUCUACAAUCCUCUAAGAGCACAUACAUAUCAUAAGGUUAGGACAGGACCCCACCAUACCAAUCAGUACAUGUCCAAAUCAUAUUGACCAAAUAGGUAACUCUGGAGCAAGUGGAGUGCACCAACACCUUCCGUUGAGCUGAUAGCCUACUAGGAGGAAUGUCAACCUAUCUAUCGGGACCUGCAGCAUGAAAUGCAGUGUCCCCAGGCAAAAGGGACAUCAGUACGAAUAAAGUACCGAAUAUGUAAGGCAGGAAAAUGUAAAUAAGAACAGUAAUGUAAAGAGAGAUAGAGGAGAUACAACCUGUAACAUCUGAGUGCCUCUGGGGGCUACUGACAUGAAAUGCAUAAUACAUAUAUAUACAUAAACUUUUUAAAAUCAUACGCAUCUAUGGGCAUCAUCAUCAUCAUAUCGUACCCGGCCUCAAAGAGGACCCGGUAAAAAAAAUGUACUCGACCAUCAUAAGGCUCGGUAGAAUCGGACCCGACCACGUGGAGCUCGGUAAACCCAACUGAUUAGUUGUUGCACAAUAGGUGUCGUACUCGGCUGACUAUAACGCGCCUCGGUAAAGUAAAAUAGAUACAUAUAUAUAAUGCAUGCUCAACUCAUGGAAUCAUGCUCUAAACCUUUCAGAAUAAUGUAAGGUCAGUAUCCUCUGUACACAUUAUCAGGACUAACUCUUCACUAUGAACCUUAUAAGAAUUAGGAAGUAUCAAAAACAUUGAUAACAUAAGAAUGAGAGAAGCAACAUCAACAUCAAUUGUUCCAUAAGAGGGGAAACAAUUUAAGUACUGCUAGCUUCUAAGAGUAGAGUAUCUUUGGAAGAUCGUUCAUUACAUUACAUACAAUCGGAGUCAUGCAAAAGAAGGAAAAGGAUAGCCUCACAUACCUUGUAUAUGUACUGCCCAACCUCAAGCUAUGCAAAUGUCAUGACUCCUUAGUCUACAAUAAGAGAAAUGACACUAUCGUUAUCGUUUUAGCAUCGUAAUUAUUAUGUAUCGGCCACAACCUAUUUCACAAUGAAAUGGAAAGCACCUCCCCUAUAUAUAUAACUUCACACAAGUCAAAACAAUCACAAACAACCCAACAUAUCUCUAUCACUUCAUACACAACACGACAACCAUAAUAGUAUCAAAUAAUCCGAAAAUGUUACGACGAACGACCAACAAACAACCUUGCCAUUAUGUGGUGUUUCUCUACACCCUUCCUCCUCUCAACUCUAUGAAAACAAUAGCAAAAGAGACAAACCAAUACCAACACAAAACCGCCUACAAAAUAGUCCCACAAGUUCAUCAGCUCAAAAGUAAUUUUUCAGUUUACUUAAACACGUUUCGACUUGUCUUUUCUCUCAAUUGAGAAACACAACCAAAAGUACAUAAUUAUACCUCUUAUCCAAUAAACCAGCCAUGAAUUCAACUUAAAAAUAAGUUCACAACCAGCCAACCAUUACACAAGAACAAACAACAUACCAUUCUUUCGAAACUAGCUAGGUCUAUUCUGUAUGAUCGAGUUACAACUCGCAAACGCAUAGAUAAUGGAAGGAUAAGCAUAAACGAACCUUGUACUGACUAUAAUCAACGAAACCUGGUCCUUCUUCAUCAAAAAUAAGUUCCUCAACAUGGCUACAAGAAGGAGAAAGAGAAACUAGCAAGCUGUUCGGACUUUUCAGCACUAGAAUCGCAUCGUAACACCCGGAGUACCCUAGGGUUUGUGUGGGAUUUUUGGGUAGGAGUUGCAGGGGCUCAAUUAGGUUUUCUUGGUCUGAAAGAUAGGUGAAAUAACUGUGUUGAUAGUUCCUUAAAUGACCCCUCUUGGCCGACUUUGGGGUUUUUAAUUGAGUCCUCUCAUUUUGGCAAGUAGGUGAUGCACCUACUAGUUACCUACCAGCCUGCGCAUUCUCGCAAAAGUACGAGUAUCUCUCUACUCUGACUCUGUAUCGACAAACAAUUUAAUGCUUUAGAAAACUAGAUGCAUAGAUCUUUAAUUUUGUUGGUAGAUCAUCCCCUAAUUCCAAGUAUAUUAGGAGAAAAGCUCAGUUACAUUUGACCUAAUUUUCAGCACAUUUAUGAAUAGAACUUGUGAUGACCUUUUCCAACUUUUGUUCCAUAACUCGCUUGACAUCAAAACAUAACACCAACUAUCAUACGACUAAAAUAACUCAUAUUAUAAUCUCCUUAUAAUGUUAAUAACCCUAGUUUCAUCCCAAAAGUACAUGGUAAAACAUUCCAACUUGUUGACUUUCGACGAAACUUAUUUUCUUCAAUUUGUUUAGCUUCUAAGCCUUUAAACCCUCUUGCUACUUGGGAUUAAUGAUCUUAAAUAUUUGUAACAUCCGUGUUAACAUGAUGAACUAAAUUUGUAAACUUUUCAAAGAUGAUUCCCUUUCUGAGCUUACAUUAAUUGACUUAUGCCGUACUCUUAUGUACGAAAACAUAUGGUGUAACAUCAUUCCCCCCUUUGGAAUACUCGUCCUCGAAUGUUGACUAAUGCGCUUAUCAGUCUCAUAACCCGUAGCUCUUAAGAAUACUUUAAUAUUGUCUUUGACAUCUAGGAAACUGUUCUGUAAAUAAAUCCAAAGGCCAGGGUAUUCCCCCCUUUAGGCCUCUUUCUCAUACCACAACUUGUGGUCGGAAUUUUUCCAAUCUCAUAAAUAUUGUUACCUUCUGACAUGCAUCAUGUACAGUUGUGUACUUGUAUGUGUGCCUAUGCGACUCUUCUCUCCUUUUUCCUCCAACUUUUAGCCAAUCUCUAGGCCUCACUUUAUGAACAUAUACAGAACUAUGACAAGAUGUCCCUCAAGGCAUAUAUAGGUGUACUAAAGUUCUUCGCUUGGUACUUUAUCGAACUUACGACUAUUGCUAUAUCUUGUUUCAUAGCCUUGUAUAUCUAUCCUUAUGGCUUUUCUACAUCUAGGUAGGUUAUACUAUACCAUAACACUUACUUUUGUUUAUUUUUAUCGAGGUUUGCUACCCAACUCCAGGUUAUUCUCUCGCUACUUAUCCUAUAUGUAUAAAUCUAAGUCAUUUAAUGCUUCCUUAUUAAUGUUCAUCUAAAUAAUGGCAUCAUAAUCUCCUCUCAUAUUUUGGAACUCUUAUCCAUCUAUUAUUGAUUCACCUUAAUGUUGAUCUAUAAUCCACCACUAAUAACUUGAAACCUCUUACGUAAUACAUUGUCACUAGGGCUCACGUCUCAUCGAGGAACAUCUGAAGUGGCUUUCCUUAUCCACCUAGGGACAAUACCAUACUUCAAUAACCUUAUUUUAUAGCAUCCCAAUGUGAUUCGUCUUAUAUUCUAAUCCUGUGCCAUCCAUGAAAUCUCUUCUCUUUGAAUCAUUACUCAAUUGAAGGCCUAAAUAUCAUCCUUUUAUUAUUUACCACAAUUACACCCUUACAUUACGACUAGGGAAGCAUUCUAUCUCUUCUAAAUGCUCCUAGUCUUAGAAUCCUCCGUGUUAAUUCAAGCUAUACUGAGCUUUUUAUAACAUACAUAAACCAUCAUCUCUCUUGUUUGAUGGGCUUAAUACCAAGGUCUUACCUAUUCUUGUCAACUCCUAACUUAGCUUUUCUUAUCCUUACUCCCAUAUACCUAAAGUCUUGUCACUCUGCCAUACUUUAGCUUGCGACCUACAUAUAUCUAUUUGUAAUACUCACAUCCUUCCUUUAACUUGCUAGCACCACAGAUUUCCUUUUGUGCCUUCUCAGUUGUCUUUAAAUGUAAGCAAUUACUUUUCCUGGCCGUUCUGCCAUUUGUUGCAUGAAUACUUGGCUUGUCUUAUUGCCCACGAAUACUAUAAUUUCAUGUACCUCAUAUGAUCUCAAACAUCACCUUUGAUUUGUUUUCCCAUUCAUUAGCCAUUAUAGGCACCACUUUCUUAUGGAGUGCAUCCAAUGUUGUAGUGAGACUAUUGUUACCAGACCAAUUCUUCUUCAAGUUAAUAUGCUUAGGUUGAAGCCCUUUUCCUUAUUUCCUGAGCUAGUCUUUCGUGGUAGUACUUAGGAGACUUUCUGGAUCUUGUAAAGUUGCGAGCUUGAUAUAUCGUACACCUGAAGGAAAUUUUCGUUGUUCUUACUCGCCUAUAAUAAUCCUUAGUUAAAUAACUUUGUGCCCUUGUGCUCGUAGGGUUACUUCUAAGCUCAAAUUUUCAUUGUCUCUUUAGUGGUACUCUCUCUUAUUUUCAUAAAACUUAAACGGUACCUUUAACUGCCUCAACUCCUAUCUAAAUUUUUUUAGAUGAUUGUGAUCUCAUAUCUAUGAGACUAAAUUCCCUAUGAUGUGGUUCAAUACAUUUAUAUUGCAUGAUCUUUUAAUUUAUCUGUGACCUCUUGUUUAGCCAUAACCGGGCUCUUCCUGAAUCAACUACUAAUUACUCGUUGGUCCAUUCUCAUAUAUAUAUUUCGCAUAAGCUCUCUUGGGAUAUAUCCUUUGUCUUAACUUACCUCUCGCCACUAGCUCCUGAUGUUUCAAGUGUCCAUUCACACUUAUUUAUCAAUAACAUCCUGGCUGAAAACUUUUACUACCUUUCCCCGGUAUCGUGCUUGUAUAAAGUUCUGGAGUCACAACAUAUCUGUAGGAACUGAAUAAAUGCAACAUCAUCCCUUUCUCCUUUUCACCACAUUCUUCCUUUACCAUUCCAUAGUUACCUAGACCGCUUAACUCCGACUUAAUACCAUAUCAUACCACAUUCCCUCCUUUAGGGGAGUACUAAGAUUUAGUACUAUGAUGAUCUAGCUAUAGAUGUUUUACCUCUUCAUCUUUGGCGUCUUUUCACAUUAUAAAUGAACCUUAAUCGCCUUAUGGUAAUUUUUUGUACCAGGGAUAACUAAAUUUCUUAUGCAGAAGGUGACACCUAGUGUAAUUGGCACAUUUAGUCCCUUAAGCUUAACUUUGCUCACAUUGCUCGCUUUAGGGAAACCUCUUCCUGAAUGACCUUUAAAGGUUAUUCUUCUAUUGUCCAUUUUAUUAUUGUUGGAACACGAUCUCCGAAAUUCUUAUGAGGCUGACUAUUACCAAAUACUUCGAUCCCUAAUUCAUGUUCAGUUUAUCUUAUUCUCCAUCCCAUACUGAUUUCUAUUACUCCGGGGUCUAAUCUUUCCUUAUGGUAAUCACGUUAGAGUCACCAAAUCAUUUCUCGAAAUGGGAAUAUGACUUUAUGUCUUAUACUCUUUUAUUGUCUUAAGUCCUGUCACCUCUUAUAUCUUCCUUCACUUGACUAUAAACUUUAUCAUCAUGUCGUAUUUUGAUUUACUGUUAUCACCCAUUUAUUACAUCUUACUCAUAAUGCUUUAUUUACUCUCUUCUUAUUCUCCGGCUAAUAUUUCUGUCUAUCACUUUAUUCUGAUAACUUCAACAAAUCAUUCUUUCACUUUUAGCUCCCCUUGCUUCAUCUCACUGGCUCUUUAGGUCACCUAGCAUUCUCUCUUUACUAGGAACGGGAGCCAUACAAAGGUAAAUAUUUAUCCCUUCUAGGAUUUCAGUGCCAAUCUUCUAAAAUUUCUGAACAUUCAUGUAUUCAUAUAUGAUUGUACUAUACUAUGGUGCACCAUCUGGGUGUCUCACAAGGAGAUCUGUUACCACGUUUUCACUAUCCGUCAAAAAUGUUAGCUAAUGAUAACAAUCCAUCUACAAAUUUGGGCUACUCUAACCCCAGCUGGAUCCUAAUAUCCCAUUCUUCUUUUAAACUAUAUUUGUUAGCUCCCAUAGGGCAUAAUUUCGAUGGGCGUGGCCAAUUGUACAUACCUCUGUUGCUGUUGAAUGUAACUCAUAAUACAUAUAUUUCUCUGCCUGAAUUGUAAAACUCAAAACCUUCACUAACUGGUACCUCGUAAUCUUUGUCACCUUGCUUCUUUUAUUUGUUGAAACUUGUAUCUACCUUCUGAUUCUCUUGUUGAUUUUUAAACCAUAUGGGUGGAUAGAUAUUCACGCCUUACGCCUGCUUAUCAAUAAACUUUCACGCUUUAGUACACAUAUAAUCUACUGAAGACCUUACAUUUACUCAUCAUAAGCAUGAUACAAAUUUAUGUUUCAUUGACUCAACUCUUCCAUAACAAAGUUUCUCUUACCUACUAUCUGUUUGGAUGAGGAAUCAUUGUGUUACAAAUAAAAUAGAAUUUACAAGUUUGAAUUCUUACAAUUGUGCUCUACCACACGAUCUAGAGUAAGAAGAAAGAGUGACAGUAAUAAAUGCCCUGCAGCCUCCUACUUAUAAGUGUAGUGCACUACACACCCAUAAAUAAGACUCUACUAGACACGGCUUGUAGACUCCCUAGAACAGAACUGCUCUGAUACCACUUCUGUCACGACCCAAAUUGGAGGGCCGCAAUGGGCAUCCGGUGCCUUACCCAACCGAGUACCAACAUAACGUAUUCUUUCUUAUCAUACCAUUAUGGGUAAAUAGGAUGGAAGGGUCGUCAUGAUAUAACCAGAAUGAAACAUAAGGGAAUACUCAACAUAGGAUGACCCAACAUGAUAUACAACCUUAUACACGUGACAUGCCUAUAAGACCAAAAUGAACACUCGUACAUUGAACAUAUGUUGACAAGGCCAUACAAUCUUUCAUAUGCAUGACAUCUGUCUACAAGCCUCUAAGAGCACACACAUAUUAUAAGGUCGGGGCAGGACCCUGCCAUACCAAUGAAUACAUGUCCAAAUCAUAUUGACCAAAUAGGCAACUCCGGAGAAAGUGUUGUGCACCAACACCUUCUGUUGAGCUAAUAGCCUACUAGGAUGUCAACCUAUCUAUCGGGACCUGUAGCAUGAAAUACAGUGUCCCCAGGCAAAAGGGACAUCAGUAUAAAUAAAGUACCGAGUAUGUAAGGCAGGAAAACAUAAAUAAGAACAGUAAUGUAAAGAGAGAUAGAGGAGAUACAACCUGUAACAUCUGAGUGCCUCUAGGGGCUACUGACAUGAAAUGCAUAAUACAUAUAUAUACAUAAACUUUUUAAAAGCAUACGUCUUUGUGGGCAUCAUCAUCAUCACAUCGUACCCGGCCUCAAAGAGGACCUGGUAAAAAAAACGUACCCGGCCAUCAUAAGGCUCAGUAGAAUCGGACCCGGCCACGUGGAGCUCGGUAAUCCCAACCGAUUAGUUGUUGCACAAUAGGUGUCGUACUCGGCUGACUAUAGCGCACCUCGGUAGAGUAAAAUAGAUACAUAUAUAUAAUGCAUGCUCGACUCAUGGAAUCAUGCUCUAAACCUUUUAGAGUGAUGUAUGGUCAGUAUCCUCUGUACACAUUAUCAGGACUAACUCUUCACUAUGAACCUUAUAAGAAUCAGGAAGUAUCAACAACAUUGAUAACAUAAGAAUAAGAGAAGCAACAUCAACAUCAAUUGUUCCAUAAGAGGGGAAACAAUUUAAGUACUGCUAGCUUCUAAGAGUAGAGUAUCUUUGGAAGAUCGUUCAUUACAUUACGUACAAUCGGAGUCAUGCAAAAGAAGGAAAAGGAUAGCCUCACAUACCUUGUAUAUGUACUGCCCAACCUCAAGCUAUGCAAAUGUCAUGAUUUCUUAGUCUACAAUAAAAGAAAUGACACUAUCGUUAUCGUUUUAGCAUCGUAAUUAUUAUGUAUCGGCCACAACCUAUUUCACAAUGAAAUGGAAAGCACCUCCCCUAUAUAUAUAACUUCACACAAGUCAAAAAAAUCAGAAACAGCCCAACAUAUCUCUAUCACUUCACACACAACACGACAACCAUAAUAGUAUUAAAUAAUCCGAAAAUAUUACGACGAACGACCAACAAACAACCUUGCCAUUAUGUGGUGUUUCUCUACAUUAUUCCUCCUCUCAACUCCAAAAAAAAGUAGCAAAAGAGACAACCCAAUACCAACAUGAAACAACCCACAGAACAGUCCCCUAAGUUUAUCAACUCCAAAGUAAUUUUUCAGUUUACUUAAACACCUUUCGACUUGUCUUUUCUCUCAAUUGAGAAAAACAACCAAAAGUACAUAGUUAUACCUAUUAUCCAAUAAAACAACCAUGAAUUCAACUUAAAAAUAAGUUCACAAUCAGCCAACCAUUACACAAGAAUAAACAACAUACCAUUCUUUCGAAACUAGCUAGGUUUAUUAUUUACGAUCGAGUUACAACUCACAAACGCAUAGAUAAUGGAAGGAGAAGCAUAAAAUUACCUUGUACUGAGUAUAACCCACGAAACCUGGUCUGUCUUCAUCAAAAAUAAGUUCCUCAACACGGCUACAAGAAGGAGAAAGAGAAACUAGCAAGCUGUCUGGACUUUUCAGCACUAGAAUUGUGUCGUAACACCCGGAAUAUCCUAGGGUUUGUGUAGGAUUUUUGGGGAGGAGUUGCAAGGAUUCAAUUAGGUUUUCUUGUUCUUAAAGAUAGGUGAAAUAACUGAGUUGAUAGUCCCUUAAAAGACCCCUCUUGGCCGACUUUGAGGCUUUUAAUUGAGUCCUCUCAUUUUGGCAAGUAGGUGAUGCACCUACUUGUCACCUACCAUCCUGCGCAGUCUCGCAAAAAUACGAGUAUCUCUCUACUCCGACUUCGUAUCAACAAACAAUUUAAUGCUUUAGAUACUAGAAUCAUAGAUAUUUAAUUUGGUAUGUAGAUCAUCCCCUAAUUCCAAGUAUAUUGGGGAAAAAGCUCAGUUACAUUUGACCUAAUUUUCAGCACAUUUAUGAAUGAAACUUGUGAUGAUCUUUUCCAACUUUUGUUUCAUAACUCGCUUGACUUCAAAACAUAACACCAACUAUCAUACGACUAAAAUAACUCAUAUUAUAAUCUCCUUAUAAUGUUAAUAACCCUAGUUUUACCCCAAAAGUACAUGGAAAAAUAUUCCAACUUGUCGACUUUUGACGAAACUUAUUUUCUUCAAUUUGUUUAGCUUCUUAGCCUUUAAACCCUCUUGCUACUUGGUAUUAAAUAUCUUAGAUAUUUGUAACCUCCACGUUAACAUGAUGAACUAACUUUAUAAACUUUUCAAAGAUGAUUCCCUUUUUGAGCUUACAUUAAUUGACUUAUGACGUUCUCUUACGUACGAAAAUAUGGGGUGUAACAAUACCAUUCGUGAGCGACUGUCCAUUUGAGUUUGUGUGUGGUGGUGAAUUUCACAUGGUUGAUUAACGUAUCUUCACUCCCACCAAUGAUCAUUUGUAUAGUACGAGAUGGUGAUAGUGGUUUUAGAGGUCCCUAAGGUUGAUCGCGUCCACGAGAAAAGUUGGCCCAUCCUCGAUUGCUCAGCAGUUCUUUCAGGUAUCACUUGUUUAACAUUCUUACCACUUUCUGUCGCAAACAUAUGCAGUCCUCGGUCUUGUGUCCCCUUUUAUGAUGGAAUUUACAUAGAACAUUCGAUCUCCUCGUGCUCGGAUUCGACUUCAUCUUGUGCGGCCACUACACCUUUGUGGCGAGCUUUUCCAGUGCGUACACUAUUUCUGAAGGAGAAAUACAAAAGUUAUGAGUAGAUAAUAGUGGAGGCAUACCUCUUUCAUUUCAGGGUGGUGCGAUGUGUCGAGGCGCACCAUCUAUAUGUCGUGGAGGAGGUGGGUUGGAUUUUCGGAUAUAGGGCUGGUGCCUUUCUCAAUUGAAACGUGGUAGUUGGUCCCUUCAGCCGUCAUUGCGGUGAUCUCUCCUUGUCUCUGUCUGGACCGAGGUUAGUCAUUGGAUCGGACCGUUCAGGCCAUCCUCAUCUGCCCUCACUUCGGCUCAAUAGGCAUUAUGGAUCUCUUCCCACGUGGUGGGGGGUACUUCAUGAGUCUACUUAGCAGCUUUUUGGUUGCUUUUGACCCAUUUCUAUUUAACCCAUUUUGAAAGGCUGCUACCGCCAUACUUUCUGACACGUUUGGUAUGCUCAUCCUUACCCUGUUGAAUCGGGCUAGGAAAUCCCGAAGUCCUUCAUCUGUCGUUUACCUGACAACGAAGAUAUCAUUUACCCUGGCCUCUGCCUUUUUCGCUCCUGCGUGAGCGGUGACUAACUUAUCUGCCAUUUCUUCGAACGUUCAUAUCGAUCGUGCUGGUAGUUGGGAAUACCAUAUCAACGCUCCUCUUUUCAGAGUUUUGCCAAACUUUUCAGCAGUACUGACGGCACCUGUUCUUUUGAUAGAUCGUUACCUUUUACUAUAGUAACGUAAUGGAUUAAGUGAUCCUCCGGGUCUGUGGUGGCAUCAUAUAUUUUUAGAUAUGGCAGCAUUUUGAAGGUUUUUAGAAUAGAGUGGGAAGCUGCCCCUUCACUAUAUGGUUGUUCGACGAAUCGGCCCACGUCACGUUUUGGUAGCAACUUCGGAGCGCCCGAUAUUUUAUCAACCCUUUCCUGAUGCUCUUUCAUCUGUCGUAGAGUGUUUUGUUCUCAUUUUCCAUCUCUUCCAUUUUCAUUAAGAUGGUCGCAAGUGCAUUGUUGCUUGCAUCAGCGACCGUAUGGGCGUUACUUGUUCGUGUAAUUUCUGGCUCAUCGACGACAGUUGCGGUUUCUGCGGGUAAUGUGUCUUCGAUAUCCCUCUAUACGGGUUUCUCGAGUAUGUUGCUCAAGAUAUUUGUCAGCCAUUCUUCUAAUAGCCUUUUCACGGCUGGUGGUACUUCUCUUGCUGUGGAUGUUAAGGUUUCCCUCUCGCGCGAGACAGUUAAACCCUCUUGGGGGGGUGUGAGAUCUCUCCCUCAGGUGUAGCACUUGAUGUUGCGUUUUUGUUGUCUUCUCCAUUGGCAUCAUUGAGGGAAUUCAGGAGGUUGUUCGUGACACCUACUAUUGCAUUUAGCCUUGUUUCUCCCUUUCCUGCAAUUGUUAGCCUUUGUAAGACUAAAAAGAGGUUAUUAUUUCUUUCAAGAAUCUAGACAAAACUAAGAUCUCAGCUAUAGAAAUCCCCACAGACGGCGCCACAUUGUUUGACUCAAAAGAUAUCGAAAUCUUUUUGAAUAAAUCAAUCAAAGAAAAUGAAGGGGUAAAUCUUAUCUAUGUAUAAUAAUCUCUAGAAAGAAAGAUAGAUAAGGGGAAUACGGAUGAUAAGAAUUCUUUAUCCCAUCUAGACCAAAAGACCUUUCACAAUAAUCUUCUCAAUCUUUUAUGUAAGCAAGUUUACAGCAAGUAUUAUGGAUUAGCAAAAGUGCCUGCCCUUACAAAGUUGUUUCAUGCUAUAUAUAUAUAUAUAUAUAUAUAACGNNNNNNNNNNNNNNNNNNNNNNNNNGUGCAGAUCCAGGUUCUUCUGCUCAGCCAUUCUACCAGUGAGGCGGGCGAUACCAGAGACUUCGAGGUAUAUAUGUCGCGUCCGCAAAUCUAGAAGUCCCUCUCUAUUCUCCCCUCUAGCUUUAGACUUCCUGUACUUACUUUUGAUUAGACAUUCUAGAGUUAGAACACUAUAUAGUUUUUCUACAGUUUGUGAUUUCAUGAGAUUCUGGGUUUUGGGAGUUUGAUUCAAUUUUGAGAGUAUGUAUUGUAUAUGCCGAGCGGCAUUUCCAAACUCUUUACUUAUAUUUUUACUCGUAACUUGCCAGUUUCGUAUUUCAUUUCCUUUUUCCGCAAUUUGUUAGGCUUACCUAGUUGUAGAGACUAGGUAUAGUCACGACAGUUCACGGAGGGAGAACUAGGGUCUUGAAAAGUUAGUAUCAGAGAUCUAGGUUCAUAGAAUGUCAUGAAUCGCAAGCCGAUUUAUUAGAGUCUCACGGAUCGGUACGGAGACGUCUGUACUUAUCUAUGAGAGGCUAUGUAACUAUUAGGAAAAUUCCACUUCAUUUGAUUUCCUUGUUAUGUAAGAGUUUUGAUAUCAAAAUUCUAAACCUCUAUCUUCUAUUCUCUCACAGAUGGCGAGGACACGUGCUACCGGAGAUGAACAGGAACCCGCACCCCCUACUAGAUCCAUCAGUGGUCGGGGCUGGGGUAGAGGCCAAGGACGUGCACGUGGUGCAGCCAGAGCACCCUCGCGAGCUGCCAUAGAGGAGCCACUAGCAACUCCAGCCGGAGCCCAAGCACCUGACACGCCUACUGCUACUACUACUACUCCAGCUCUUCAGGAGACCUUUGCACAGUUCGUGAGCAUGUACACCACUCUAGCUCAGGCAGGGUUAAUUCCCCUUGCUGCAGCCACAUCCCAGGAAAGGGAGGAGCCUAGACUCCCGCCUCCCAUACCCCAGAGCAGCGAGUCCUGGUUAAUUAGAUCCCAGAGGUUAUACCGGUACCGUCUGCAGCCCCAGUUAAGCCCGAGGAUAGGGCAGCAGCUUCGGAGGAUGAGCAGCGGAGGCUUUAGAUGUUCAAGAAGUACAAGCCUCCUAUAUUCAGUGGUCUAGCAUAAGAUGAUGCUCUGGUAUUUCUGGACAAGUUCUAACGUAUCCUCCGCACUAUGGGUAUAUCAGGAUCGAGUGGGGUUUACUUCAGUACCUUCCAUCUUCGAGGAGCAGCGUACCAAUGGCGGCGUACUUAUGAGUUGGAAAGACCAGCUGAGGCACCUUCCCUUAUAUGGACCUAGUUUUCAGAUAUAUUUUGAGGGAGUAUGUUCCUCAAAGCCUUAGGGAUGCAUGACGCGCUAAGUUUGAGCAUUUGCGCCAAGGUGCUAUGAUAGUUUCGGAGCAUGCUGUCCAUUUCACUGACUUGGCUAGGCAUGCAAAAGCCUUGGUUUCUACAGUUCGUGAGAGAGUUCACCGGUUUAUUGAGGGGCUCAUUCCUAGCAUCAAGUCUAGCAUGGCUCGGAAGUUGGAGAUAGAUAUCUCUUAUCAGCAGGUGGUGAGCAUUUCUAGGAGAGUAGAGGGUAUGCAUGCUUGGGAUAGAGAGGAUAGGGAAGCCAAGAGGUCUCGAGGGUCGGGUCAUUAUUCUGGUGCCCGUGCCCCAGUUGCAGUUCAUCAUGGUAGGGGUUAUAUGAGUCGCCCUGUUUAUUCAGCUCUUCUAGCAGCCAGUGGUAUUCCAGCUCCUCCUAGACCCAAAGAGCCUUAUUAUGAACCUCCAGUAUCUAGGCCUCCUACAUGGGGUGCUUUCAGUGGUUAGUCCAGCAGAACUUGAGCGAGCCAGUCACAGCCGCCACUUCCUCCCAGAGCUUGUUUUGAGUGUGGUGACACACACCAUAAGGUGAGAGAUUGCCCCAGACUUAGGAGGGGUGCACCUCCACAGACUUCUGAGCCAUAACAUGCUUCGUAGAGUUCUCAUGCUAUGAUUACAGCACUAGUUGUUGCCCCACCUACCCAACCAGAUAGAGGGGAGGUCGGGGAGGUAGAGGUCUCCCUAGAGGGGGAGGCCAAGCUAGAUAUUAUGCCAUUCCUGCCCAUACUGAGGUUGUCGCCUCCAAUUCUGUCAUCACAUGUAUUGUACUGGUUUAUCAUAUAGAUGCAUCAGUUUUAUUCGAUCUAGGCUCCACUUAUUCUUAUGUGUCCUCUUAUUUUGCCUCGUAUUUGGGCGUACCUCGGAAUUUUUUGAGUUCCCCUGUUUAUGUUUCUACUCCCGUGGGAGAUUCUCUUAUUGAGGACCACGUUUAUCAGUCAUGUUCGAUUGCUCUUAGUGGUUUUGAGACUAGAGCCGAUCUAUUAUUGCUCACCAUGGUAGAUUUAGAUGUUAUCUAGGGCAUGGACCGGUUGUCACCCUAUUAUGCUAUUCUUGCUUGUCUCGCCAAAACCUUGACAUUGGCUAUGCCAAAUGUACUGCGAGUAGAGUCAAGGGGUACCUUAGAUCACACUCCCAGUAGAGUUUUUUCAUUCCUUAAGUCUCAGCGAAUGGUUGACAAGGGUUGUGGCGCAUAUCUAGCUUACGUGACAGAUAUCAGUAUUUAUACCCCUAUAGUUGAUUGAGUCCCAGUAGUAUGGGAUUUCCUUGAUGUGUUUCCAACUGAUCUUCCGGGUAUGCCACCCGACAGCGAUAUUGAUUUCGGCAUUGAUUUGUUGUCGGUCACUCAGCCUAUUUUCAUUCCUCCUUAUCAUAUGGCCCCUCCUGAGUUAAAGGAGUUGAAGGAUAAGUUACAGGAAUUGCUCGAUAAGUGUUUUAUUCAGCCCAGUCACCUUGGGGUGCUCUUGUCUUGUUUGUGAAGAAAAAGGAUGGUUCUAUGCGUAUGUGCAUUGAUUAUCGCCAGUUGAACAAAGUUACAGUGAAGAACCAGUAUCCUUUGACUCGUAUUGAUGAUUUGUUUGACCAGUUAUAAGGUGCUCGAGUGUUUUAUAAGAUUGACUUGCGUUCAGGUUAUCAUUAGUUGAAGAUUCGAGAGCCAGAUAUCCCGAAGACUGCUUUCAAGACUCGGUAUGGUCAUUACGAGUUCCUUGUUAUGUCAUUUGGGCUGACCAAUGCCCCAGCAGCCUUUAUGCAUUUGAUACACAACAUUUUCUGCCAUAUCUUGACUCGUUCAUCAUUGUCUUUAUUGAUGACAUUCUGGUAUACUCCUAGAGUCGGGAGGAUCAUGAGCAGCACCUGAGGACAACGCUUCAGACUUUGAGAGAAAAGAAAUUAUAUGCAAAUUUCUCAAAAUGUAAGUUUUAGUUGGAUUCCGCGAAAUUCUUCGAUCACGUGGUAUCGAAUGAAGGGAUCAAGGUGGAUACAAAGAAGGUGGAGGCGGUAUAGAGUUGGCCCAGACCAUCCUCAACUAUAGAGAUCCGUAGUUUUCUUGGCUUGGCGGGUUAUUACCAUCGAUUUGUUUAGGGAUUUUCAUCUAUUGUAGCACCUAUGACCAAACUGACCCAGAAGGGUGCUCCGUUCCAGUGGACGGAAGAGUGUGAGGAGAUCUUCCAGAAGCUCAAGACAACUUCAGUAUGAUGACCCUCAUUUGCUUAUCCUCAUAGACAAGGUUCUGCAUGGUGAUGCUAGAGAUGUGACCAUUGGUGAUGAUGGUGUAUUGAAGAUGCAAGGUCGAGUAUGUGCACCCAAUGUUGAUGGGCUUCAAGAGUUGAUUCUAGAGGAAGCCCACUGUUUGCGGUAUUCCAUCCAUCUGGGUGCCGCAAAGAUGUACCAAAAUUUGAGACAUCACUAUUGGUGGAGGCGGAUAAAGAAUGAUAUAAUUGGAUUUGUAGCUAGGUGCCUCAAUUGUCAUCAGGUAAAGUAUGAGCACCAGAGACCAGGUGGUUUGCUUCAGCAGAUAGAUAUUCUGGAGUGGAAGUGGCAGCGGAUCACCACGGAUUUCGUAGUUGGACUCUCACAAACUUUGAGAAAGUUCGAUGCCAUUUGGGUGAUUAUGGAUCGGCUGACCAAGUUUGUGCAUUUCAUCCUUUGUGUACCACCUACUCUUCGGAACGGUUGGCGGUGAUUUAUAUCCAGAAGGCUAUUUGUCUGCAUGGUAUUCCAGUUUCCAUCAUUUUAGAUAGAGGUACUUAGUUUACAUCACGGUUCUGGAGGGCCGUACAACAUGAAUUGGAUACUUCGGUGGAGUUGAGCAUAGCAUUUCACCCCCAGACAGACUGACAGUCCGAGCGCACAAUUCAGAUUUUUAAGGGUAUGCGUCGUGCGUGUGUGAUGGAGUUUGGAGGUUCUUGGGAUCAGUUCUUGCCACUAGUGGAGUUUGCCUACAAAAACUGUUAUUAGUCCAACAUUCAGAUGGCACCGUAUGAGGCCUUGUAUGGUAGGCGGUCUAGAUCCCCGGCGGGUUGGUUUGAGCCAGGUGAGGCUAGAUUAUUAGGCACAUACUUGGUUCAAGACGCCUUGGAGAAGGUUAAGGUGAUAUAGGAUAGACUUCGCACAUCCCGGUCCAGAUAGAAGAGUUAUGCGGACCAGAAGGUUCGUGAUGUUUCCUAUAUGGUUGGAGAGCAGGUCUUGCUUCGGGUUUCGCCUAUGAAGGGCGUCAUGAUAUUUGGGAAGAUGGGGAAAUUGAGUCCGGCUUUUAUUUGUCCUUUUGAGGUAUUAUGACGUGUUGGGGAGGUUUCUUAUGAGCUUGCCUUACCUCCCAGCUUGGCAGGAGUUCAUCCGAUAUUUCAUAUUUCGAUGCUUAGAAAGUAUCACGGUGAUCCGUCACAUGUGUUGGAUUUCAGUUCAUUCCAGUUGGACAAGGAUUUAUCUUAUGUGGAGGAUCCAGUGGCGAUAUUGGGUAGGCAAGAUCGAAAGUUGAGGUCAAAGAACAUUGCAUCAAUGAAGGUUCAGUGGCGGGGUCAGCCGGUCGAUUAGGCGACUUGGGAGACCGAACGGGAUAGCGCAGUCAUUACCCUCUUCUUUUCACUACUUCAGAUAUGUUUCUAUGCUCGUUCGAGUACGAACGAAUGUUUUAAGCGGGGGAGGAUGUAACGAUCCGGCCAGUUUUUUUGAGAAUUAACGCCUUGAUCCCCUAUUAACUGCUUUCCCCGGGUUUAUUGUUGCUAUUGUGAGUUGCCGGGAAGUUUUGAGUUUCGAAGUGUUUUGGGACACGUAGUCCCUCAAUGAGAUCUUAAGCUUUAGAAUUUGGACCGUAGUCGGAGCAGUGUGACGACGUCCUCGAAGUGGAAUUCGUAGAUUCUGUUAGCUUCGUUAAGUGAUUUCGGGAUUAAGGGCGUGUUCGGAUUGUGUUUUGGAGGUCUGUGGCUUAUUUAGGCUUGAAAUGCUGAAAGUUGAAUUUUUGAAGUAUUCAGAUUGAUAGUGAGAUUUUUAUAUCGGGGUCAGAAUCCAAUUCCGAAAGUUGGAAUAGCUCUGUAGUGUUGAAUGUGACUUGUGUGCAAAAUUUGGGGUCAAUCAGACAUGGUUUAGUUGGUUUCAGCAUCGGUUGUAGAAUUCUUGAGAUUUCAAGUUCAUUAGGCAUGGAUUGGAGGGUGAAUCAUGGUUUUAGCGUUGUUUGAUGUGAUCUGAGGUUGGAUUAAAUUUGUAUGAUGUUUUAGGAUUGGUUGGCAUGUUUGGUUGAGGUCCCAAGGGCCUCACGUGAGUUUCGGGUGUUUAAUGGAAUUAGAUUUGGACUUAGGCAUUUUCUGAUAUUGCUGAAUCUAUCAUAACCGCACCUGCGUAUGUGGGACGGCAAGUGCGGGACUGCAGAAGCGGCUUGAUGAUCGUAGAAGCAGAUUUAGGCUAGGGCUUCAGGAAUCGCAGGUGCGGCUGGCUGACCGCAAAUGCGGAACCACAGAUGCGGCCAAGUGACCGCAAAUGCGUCCCCAGCCCGGUUAAGUGAAUUUCGCACCUGCGAUGCCUUUUCCGCAGGUGCGUCCCCCCUGACGCAUAUGCGGUAAUCGCUCGGCAGAUAUAGAACUUUUGAGAGUUUGAAGUUCAUAACAUUAAAUUUGAUUUUAGCUCGGGAGAAGGCGAUUUUGAGAGGGUUUUGAAGAGGAAAUCAGUGGGUAACGAUUCCUAACCCUAUUUCGUUUAUAUUUUAUCAAUCUAUUGUUGUUUUACACAUUUAAUCUAAGAAUUUGAGUGGAAGAAUGGGGAUUUGGGGGACAAGUUCCCCAAUUGAAAAUUCGAGUUUUGAGUAAGAUUUGGAGUCGGAUUUUGAUGAUUUUUGUUUGAGUGUGCUCGUGAGUGAAUGGGUGUUCAUAAUUUCUGACUUUUACCCGAUUCCGAGGCUUGGGCCUGGGGAGGAUUGUCGGGCGUUUUUCUAUUUCCUUACCUUAGCUUCGAUUCCUUUAGCUAAAUUUGUUGUUUGUUAUAUUUACAUUAUUAAAUUUAUUUAAUUAGAUUUGGCCCACUAAGAGUUGGAUAAUCGUUGCAAGAGCGUGAUUUCAGAUUUAUUUUGAGUUGGUUCGAGGUAAGUGGUUUGCCUAACCUUGUGUGGGGUGACUCUCCUUAGAAUUUUGGUAUUGUUGUUAUAUGAGUGUCGUAUACGUGAGGUGACGAGUGUGUAAACGUGCUAAUUGUUGAAAAACUCCAUUUUCAUUAAGUAAAUAUCUGCGUUUUCUUCUAAUUGAGAAAUUCUUGUACUUGAAGCCUCUUGUUUAGUUUAGGAAAAGCAUGCUCAUGUGAUCUAAUUGUCUUACUUGCUUUAUCUGCUUACUUGUAUUUUGUGAAACAUGUUUAGAGUAGAAUUCCUAUUUAUUUUCGAAUAGAAUUGUAGGUUCUUUCUUGAGACUGUUGUUUGUUUACUUUGGGACUACGGGACGAUAUCCCGGGAGAUGCCCCUGCAUGUUUACUUUGGGACUACAGAUCGGUAUUCUGAGAGAUCCCCCUGCACGUUUACAUUUGGGACUACGGGACAAUACCCGGAAGAUUCUCCUGUACUAGAUAUUUACUUUGGGCCUACGGAUUGGUAUUCCGGGAGAUUCUCCUACAUAUUUAUGAUUCGGGCUACGAGACGAUAUCAUAGGAGAUCCUCUACACAAUUACAUUAGGAAUUAUGGGACGAUAUCCUCGGAGAUCCCUUGUUGCUAUCUCUAUGUACUGAGUAUAUUAUGUCUGUGAUUUUACUCUUUAUCAAUUGUUAGUAUUUUUAAUUAUACCGUAGCACUUCAUACUAUUUUACCUUGUUUUAUAUGUAUAUAACCAAUAGGGCCCUGACCUUCCUCGUCACUACUCGACCGAGGUUAGGCUUGACACUUAGUGUGUAUCGUUGUAGUGUACUCAUGCCCUUUCCUCCACAUAUUUUUUGUGUGCAGAUCCAGGUUCUUCUGCUCAGCCGUUCUACUAGUGAGGCAAGCGAUAUCAGAGAUUUCAAGGCAUAUCUGCCGCAUCCGCAGAUCCAGAAGUCCAUCUCUAUUCUCCCCUCUAGCUUUAGACAUUCUGUAUUUACUUUUGAUUAGAUAUUCUGGAGUUAGAACACUAUAUAGUUUUUCUACAGCUUGUGAUUUCAUGAGAUUCCGGGUUUUGGGAUUUUGAUUCGGUUUUGAGAUAACGUAUUGUAUAUACCGAGCGGCAUUUUCAAACUCUUUACUUAUGUUUUUACUCGUAACUUGCCAGUUUUGUAUUUCAUUUCCUUUUUUCAAAAUUUGUUAGGCUUACCUAGUUGUAGAGACUAGGUGCCGUCACGAAAGUUCAUGGAGGAUGAACUAGGGUCAUGACAGUUUCACUGGCAAAGUCUUGGAACAAUCUAUCAAAAUGCUUCUGUGCUUCUCCAUCAGACGGCUGGUGCAGCACACCAUCUAGCCUUCUAUAUUCAUAGCGCUAUCUCAUAUGAGGAGCGGAACUCAUUGAUGUAUAAUACCUCUUUAACCUUAGUAUAAGGGGUAAGUAGUGCAUCAACUUCAAUGGAACCUUCUUCUAUUUAGCAUUUGUGACAUCAUUGAAAUAAGGCAGGUUAAAAAAUGUAUUAUUUUCUAAAGCUUCAUCAUCCUUAUAGAAUAACAUGCAACCUUUAUUACAACAAUCAAUCCUCUUCGAUGAAAGACUCAACUUGGAAACUAAUUUCUUUGCCGUGUAAAAAUCUUUGGGCAGGUAAAUCUUUGUCGGAUUAAGUUCAUUCAUAAGGCCAAUGAUAGAAUCCAUGUCACUUGAGAAAUAGAAUUAUCUGAUUUAAUACUUAGUAAUCUAACUGCAACAAACAAUUUGGAAUACAUUGCGCCUUCAUAAAGAGGACAACUAGCUUCCUCUAACUACUUGAAGAAGCUCUUAGCCUCAUCAUUUGGUUUAGAUUGAGCCCCUGGGAACAUCUCAAAAGCAUCCCUCAUCAUUUCAUUGAAUCGAAAUUUUUUUACAUUAUUAUUCCCCGCUAUGGGACUAUCGUCUUCUCCACCAAAAGAAUUUUGAAAAUCAAUAUCAUUUACACUAGCAUGACUCUGCUCAUAAAUAGUCCACUCAUAAUAAUUUACCAUACACCCCUUCUUAUAUAGAUGAACAGUAAUAAUGUCGGAAGCCAAUAACUUAACUCACUUGCAUUUCACACAAGGACACCUAAUCGUCCCUUCAAUAAGGAAAUCAUCAAAUGUCUUUUCUUUACCAAUAAAGCCAGCAACCACUUCUAUAAAUUCUUCCCGCAAACCGUUACGAUUCGCAUGAUUCCUAUUGUACAACCAUCUACGAUGUGUAAAUUCCAUCUACACAUAGAAGAAAAUUAGAAAUUGAAAUAUUUAUGUUAUUUACCCUAAUCAAUAAAUUUUAUUCUUUAAAGGUUACUUAUCUAAAUAGUUUAAUUAUAUAUUUAAGUGUAAUUUGAUAUUUAUCUAUCUGAUUUAGUAAUCUAAAAAGGUUUUUGCAUUCAUCCAUACUCAUUGGUAAACUCAAAAGCAACAACAAGCGUUAAACAUUAUAUUCAAAAAACCUUAGCUUAAUACAAUUUCAAACCAAUGAGAUUAUUAUAUUUAAUAAACUUUAAUCUUACAAUUAUUUUGUAUAUUUACUUCACUAUUGUUUAAAGUAUAGAAGCUACAUAACAUAAAUAAUAUAAAAUACAAUUAAAUCCCUUUGAAAGAUGAAUCAAAAUUAAUGCUAUAAUUAUUCAACACACUACUUAAUGGUAACUGAAUAACAUAUAUACAUUACAAUGUGAAAAUAAAGUCAAAAUUGAAUAGUUUUAUUCCUAAUUUUAUAACAUAUAUAAUUUACCAUACCUUUCGAAGAUUACUCCUAUUGAAGAAGAAUAUAUAUCUCAACUUUCAAAAGAAGAUUAAUUUUAAUGUUACUCAAGGUUAAUUCACUUCUAAUUUUUUUAUUCAAAAGAAGAUUACUUUUAAUGUUACUCAAGGAUCUAAACAAUAGUUAUUCAAAGUCAAAAUUAAAUUAUUCUUCAUUUCAACUCUAAUUUCAAUUCUAAUCAUAUCAAACAAAAAAAUCUACAAUUCAAAUUUUAAUAGCAAUACAAAUAAAAAGAACAAAUAUAUUAACAUUCAAGUCCAGAGAAAGAUGAUGGAAGGACUUACCUCGCCAGAGAAGAUGCAUGCUGCCGGAGAAGACUCACGUUGCCGGAAAAGAUAUAAACACUACCUGAAAAAGAAAAAAAGAGGGGUUAGAAGGGGAGUUGGCCUUGACAGAGAUGAGGCGGAGAGGGAGGAAGGGAAAAAGAGAUAUAUACCGUCGGGCAAUUCGGCAACGACGACGUGGGAUGAACAAGUGGGCAAAGAGAGUGAAGGGGGCUAAGAUAAGAGAAAGAAAAGAGAAAGAGAAUAAAAAAAG